This is a non-coding RNA of Oryza glumipatula, 195 nucleotides long. NCBI's taxonomy places the organism in Eukaryota, Viridiplantae, Streptophyta, Magnoliopsida, Poales, Poaceae. The record is from Rfam.
AAUAAGUGCAGUUUUGCACUAUUUAUGUUCAACGUUUGACCGUUUGUCUUAUUUGAAAAAUUUUUAUGAUUAGUAUUUUUAUUGCUAUUAGAAGAUAAAACGUGAAUAGUACUUUAUGUUUGACUAAAUAUUUUCAAAUUUUUCAUAAUUUUUUUAAAUAAGACGGACGGUAAAACGUUCACGGCUACACUUAUU